AGAUUGAACGCUGGCGGCAUGCCUAACACAUGCAAGUCGAACGGGAGUAGCAAUACUCUAGUGGCGGACGGGUGAGGGAAUACGUAGGAAUUUGCCCUUAAGUGGGGGAUAACCCGGGGAAACCCGGAUUAAUACCGCAUGACCUCGAAAGAGCAAAGUGGGGGAUCGCAAGACCUCACGCUUUUGGAGAAGCCUACGUCGGAUUAGCUAGUUGGUGAGGUAAUGGCUCACCAAGGCGACGAUCCGUAACUGGUCUGAGAGGAUGAUCAGUCACACCGGAACUGAGACACGGUCCGGACUCCUACGGGAGGCAGCAGUGGGGAAUAGUUGGACAAGUGGGCGCAAGCCUGGACUCCAGCAAUGCCGCGUGUGUGAAGAGGUCCUUCGGGUUGUAAGCGUAACGUUUAGGUUAGGAAGAAAAACGUACGUACUACUAACACAGUAGAGU
Molecule: ribosomal RNA, 448 nt
Filed under: uncultured soil bacterium
Lineage: Bacteria
Description: bacterial SSU rRNA
Rfam family: Bacterial small subunit ribosomal RNA
Source: RNAcentral